ACUGAAUUUUAAAUGGCCGCAGUAUAUUAACUGUGCAAAGGUAGCAUAAUAAUUAGUCUUUUAAUUGAAGGCUGGUAUGAAUGAUUGGACGAAAUAUUAACUGUUUCAUAAUAAUUUAAAUUAAAAUUUUAUUUUUUAGUAAAAAAGCUAAAAUUUAAUUAAAAGACGAGAAGACCCUUUAAAUCUUUAUAUUCAAAUUAUUAAAAUUUUUAGGAUUUUUUUUAUUAUAAUAAUUAAUAAUAUUUUAUUGGGGUGAUAUUAAAAUUUAAAUAACUUUUAAUUUAUAAAAUCAUUUAUUUAUGAGUUAUUGAUCCUUUAUUAUGGAUUAAAAAUUUAAGUUACUUAAGGGAUAACAGCGUAAUUUUUUUGGAGAGUUCUUAUCGAUAAAAAAGAUUGCGACCUCGAUGUUGGAUUAAAAUAUAAUUUUAGGUGUAGUUGCUUAAAUUUUAAGUCUGUUCGACUUUUAAAUUUUUACAUGAUCUGAGUUUAAACCGGUGUAAGCCAGGUUGGUUUCUAUCUUUAAUAA
Molecule: ribosomal RNA, 526 nt
Filed under: Mesembrinella bicolor
Lineage: Eukaryota; Metazoa; Arthropoda; Insecta; Diptera; Calliphoridae
Description: partial small subunit ribosomal RNA
Rfam family: Bacterial large subunit ribosomal RNA
Source: RNAcentral